AAAUUGAAGAGUUUGAUCAUGGCUCAGAUUGAACGCUGGCGGCAGGCCUAACACAUGCAAGUCGAGCGGUAGCACAGAGAGCUUGCUCUCGGGUGACGAGCGGCGGACGGGUGAGUAAUGUCUGGGAAACUGCCUGAUGGAGGGGGAUAACUACUGGAAACGGUAGCUAAUACCGCAUAAUGUCGCAAGACCAAAGUGGGGGACCUUCGGGCCUCAUGCCAUCAGAUGUGCCCAGAUGGGAUUAGCUAGUAGGUGGGGUAACGGCUCACCUAGGCGACGAUCCCUAGCUGGUCUGAGAGGAUGACCAGCCACACUGGAACUGAGACACGGUCCAGACUCCUACGGGAGGCAGCAGUGGGGAAUAUUGCACAAUGGGCGCAAGCCUGAUGCAGCCAUGCCGCGUGUGUGAAGAAGGCCUUCGGGUUGUAAAGCACUUUCAGCGGGGAGGAAGGCGUUAAGGUUAAUAACCUUGGCGAUUGACGUUACCCGCAGAAGAAGCACCGGCUAACUCCGUGCCAGCAGCCGCGGUAAUACGGAGGGUGCAAGCGUUAAUCGGAAUUACUGGGCGUAAAGCGCACGCAGGCGGUCUGUCAAGUCGGAUGUGAAAUCCCCGGGCUCAACCUGGGAACUGCAUUCGAAACUGGCAGGCUAGAGUCUUGUAGAGGGGGUAGAAUUCCAGGUGUAGCGGUGAAAUGCGUAGAGAUCUGGAGGAAUACCGGUGGCGAAGGCGGCCCCCUGGACAAAGACUGACGCUCAGGUGCGAAAGCGUGGGGAGCAAACAGGAUUAGAUACCCUGGUAGUCCACGCCGUAAACGAUGUCGAUUUGGAGGUUGUGCCCUUGAGGCGUGGCUUCCGGAGCUAACGCGUUAAAUCGACCGCCUGGGGAGUACGGCCGCAAGGUUAAAACUCAAAUGAAUUGACGGGGGCCCGCACAAGCGGUGGAGCAUGUGGUUUAAUUCGAUGCAACGCGAAGAACCUUACCUGGUCUUGACAUCCACAGAACUUUCCAGAGAUGGAUUGGUGCCUUCGGGAACUGUGAGACAGGUGCUGCAUGGCUGUCGUCAGCUCGUGUUGUGAAAUGUUGGGUUAAGUCCCGCAACGAGCGCAACCCUUAUCCUUUGUUGCCAGCGGUUCGGCCGGGAACUCAAAGGAGACUGCCAGUGAUAAACUGGAGGAAGGUGGGGAUGACGUCAAGUCAUCAUGGCCCUUACGACCAGGGCUACACACGUGCUACAAUGGCAUAUACAAAGAGAAGCGACCUCGCGAGAGCAAGCGGACCUCAUAAAGUAUGUCGUAGUCCGGAUUGGAGUCUGCAACUCGACUCCAUGAAGUCGGAAUCGCUAGUAAUCGUAGAUCAGAAUGCUACGGUGAAUACGUUCCCGGGCCUUGUACACACCGCCCGUCACACCAUGGGAGUGGGUUGCAAAAGAAGUAGGUAGCUUAACCUUCGGGAGGGCGCUUACCACUUUGUGAUUCAUGACUGGGGUGAAGUCGUAACAAGGUAACCGUAGGGGAACCUGCGGUUGGAUCACCUCCUUA
This 1539-nucleotide ribosomal RNA is filed under the name Klebsiella pneumoniae. RNAcentral describes it as "bacterial SSU rRNA". It matches the Rfam family "Bacterial small subunit ribosomal RNA". The record is from RNAcentral. Lineage: Bacteria; Pseudomonadati; Pseudomonadota; Gammaproteobacteria; Enterobacterales; Enterobacteriaceae.